GGCCUGGUAGCUCAACUGAUAGAGCCCUGCACUGAAAUUGCAGAGGUCAGGGUUCAAAUCCCCAUUCAGGCCU
This 73-nucleotide transfer RNA is filed under the name Acropora cervicornis. Its description in RNAcentral is "tRNA-Phe". It matches the Rfam family "tRNA". Rfam says of the family: Transfer RNA (tRNA) molecules are approximately 80 nucleotides in length. Their secondary structure includes four short double-helical elements and three loops (D, anti-codon, and T loops). Lineage: Eukaryota; Metazoa; Cnidaria; Anthozoa; Scleractinia; Acroporidae. The record is from RNAcentral.